GCAAGUGAAAGAAACAAUAAAAAGGAAAAAAGAAAAGAAGAAAAGAGCAAACAAACUAAGAGCAACUCGAGAGACAUGAUUUGUUUGUUUGCUCUCUCUCUUUCUACUUGUGGAUUUUUUUUUU
This 124-nucleotide non-coding RNA is filed under the name Aurantiochytrium limacinum. The record is from RNAcentral. Lineage: Eukaryota; Bigyra; Thraustochytrida; Thraustochytriidae.